This 1002-nucleotide long non-coding RNA is filed under the name Struthio camelus australis. RNAcentral's name for it is "lncRNA (ENSSCUG00000003208.1)". Lineage: Eukaryota; Metazoa; Chordata; Aves; Struthioniformes; Struthionidae. The record is from RNAcentral.
CUUAUCAUCUCCCACAGAUCAGGCGCUCCCCCACCUGUUGGAUCAUACCCUAUGGCUAGAUAUCUUCCUCAGGAGGAGACUCUUGCACAUUGGAAAACCGACACAUUAGAGUCAAGAUCUUCCUUGCAGAACUAGGAGGAGGUUUUUGUUCCAAGGGACCUGUCCUCAAAUGUGGGACUUGAUGAAAGAAACAGGGUCAUUUGUCAAACUGCGGCUGCUGCUCCUGCCCCUCCUCCUCUUGUACACAGUAAUGAACAGCCUGGGAAAAAAUUAUUCCCUUUCCAAAGGAUCUGCAAAGAGGAAGAGUUGAUGAUAAUGGCCAUGAGAAGUAAGGGAGUUGUGCAUGGAUCACUUCCCAGGACACAAAGGCUGUCUGUACACAUUGCACCCAGGAAAUUAGGCUAAUCAACACCUGCUUACAAGGACAGCGAAAAGCGUCUCCUCUUGAGACUGGUGAGACUGUGGUCUUUGCUUCUUGUUUCCUGAGGCAAGUUGCUGAGCAGAAUAUCCAAGCAAUGUGGUGACUGUUUCCACUAGACUGUCUGAAGCCAUGGGGAGUUGCUCCUCAAAGGAAUGAGGACUUGAGCCUUGCAUUGUUCAUUAUAAAACCAACUUGUCAUUCGGCCAAAAGACAAAGGCAGGGACAAAGCGACAACAUCACAUAAAAGUUGCAGAGAACAUUUUCAUGGUAGAAACUUCAACUGCUGUGGAAUGUACUCCAUGGGGGCAAGUACCCACUGUGCUCUGCCGACUGAUGAUAAGUGGUUUGUGGGACCUCUUGGUGAGAAAAUGAAUGAACUUUUCAGCUAGAAGUUUGAUGGUAAAGUAAAUGGUGGUGCAUGAAAUAUCUGAGGUUUGGUAGUCGGUCAGGUUUGUGACAGUUUUGGAAAAAGCUAGAAAAUAGCUUUGUAAAUUCAGUUUGGUCAUUUCACUUUAGCUCUAAUUAUUUUAUCAGCCAAAGCAAGCUGGUCCAUCAGUUUGGAAAGGAAUAAAGUGACAUUG